AUGAAUUCACUUGCUGCAAUGCUCAAUUGCAUCUACAAGAAAUGUGUCCGACAAUUUCCGCAAUGAUUUGAAGAAGUCAAAUAUAUGCACAGUUAUAUCUACCAAACCCAUGACCCCACGAAAACUAUUGGCAGUUUUACACACGGUUACUUAUGUUACUUCCUUCUUAUGCUUAACCACUAUGGCAUCCCCCAAGAUUGACUUAGCAGAAACUCUGAUCUGCAAUACAGAUAUACUAUGAAAAGUUCCAUGACUUGUGAAGACAAAGUAACACAAAUAUCACUGGUAGUCAAUCCAUUUCCAUCAGCCGGUAGCUUCUAGCCUCUCAUGGACAAGGAACACUGGCUAAGCUUAGGAUAUGAUAAAAAUAUAUGAAUAACCACCCAGGCGCAUCCAUAGUUGCUCGAAGAAGAUAGCAUUAAAGAGUGUGUCUGACGGAAACUGCAACAAAGGUGUGGUUGAGAGAGUCUAAUAACUGUUGGUGCAGUGGCUAAUAACUCCUUUAAAUCGUACAGUGAUUGACAGCUUCUUUUAAAUUGUUUCAUUGUAAGCCCAUCAAAGAAAAUUGGACGGAGGGACGAGCAGUACCAGACCAAAAGAAAAGGUAUUGAAGCACCACUUUAGCCAUGCAAAUUCAGAGUUAAUUACAGAAGAAUCUUGGCAUGGGAUUGAUUAAUUGAUGUGGUGGUGUUGGGAUGUAUUAAGAUGGAGAUUUCUUAAAAUCUCAAUUCCUUCGUGUGUAAACGUUGAAAUUUAUGCUUAAUUUUUUUUGU
This is a long non-coding RNA of Papaver somniferum (opium poppy), 773 nucleotides long. RefSeq lists it as uncharacterized. The record is from RefSeq and is a predicted model, not a curated record. Lineage: Eukaryota; Viridiplantae; Streptophyta; Magnoliopsida; Ranunculales; Papaveraceae. The transcript is spliced from 3 exons.